Molecule: ribosomal RNA, 434 nt
Filed under: uncultured bacterium
Lineage: Bacteria
Description: partial 16S ribosomal RNA
Rfam family: Bacterial small subunit ribosomal RNA
Source: RNAcentral
AGCGAACGCUGGCGGCAGGCUUAACACAUGCAAGUCGAGCGGGCACUUUCGGGUGUCAGCGGCGGACGGGUGAGUAACGCGUGGGAACGUGCCCUCUGGUUCGGAAUACUCCGGGGAAACUGAGCUUAUAACGGAAAAGCCCCUUUUGGGGAAGGCUUGCUGCCGGAGGAUCGGCCCGCGUCUGAUUAGCUAGUUGGUGAGGUAACGGCUCACCAAGGCGACGAUCAGUAGCUGGUCUGAGAGGAUGAUCAGCCACACUGGGACUGAGACACGGCCCAGACUCCUACGGGAGGCAGCAGUGGGGAAUAUUGGACAAUGGGCGCAAGCCUGAUCCAGCCAUGCCGCGUGAGUGAUGAAGGCCUUAGGGUUGUAAAGCUCUUUUAUCCGGGACGAUAAUGACGGUACCGGAGGAAUAAGCCCCGGCUAACUUCGUG